GUCAACUAUACAUAUGAUAUAAUACAGGAUGUUUUGGAAUGGAAUGUAAGUUUAUUAAAAAAUAUAUAAAUUUUUAAAAAUGUUUGCCAUAGAAUAAGAGAGGCCUCCAUAAUUCAAAUAUUUUUUUCUCAAAAAAAUAGAAUUAUUGGAUACUGUGAAGAGAUAUUUUACAUUUUAUGAGAAGAAUAUUUUUGUCAUUUUUCAUAUUUUAUGAAGAGAUUCUAGGAAGAUCAGAGUCCGCCAUUAUUUAGCUCACCAACAACAUAACCAAUAGCCCAUGCAUGAAGAUGGACCGAGCCAUUUGGGCUGAGGUUUCAAUGUAGAUCCAAUAGUGCAAUGGCCUCUGUUUAAUUUAUUAAUAGAGGGCCAACACAAAGCAUUGGGCUCUGAAGAAAAAAACACGAAAAUAGAGCUCGCACCCAAAGAUCCAUCCUUCCAGAGGCAGAACAAAGGGGCCUCAGUAAACCAACCUUAGCACAACCUCAGUGAUUGCGGGAGAGUCGGCCAACAGAGUUCGCACGGCUUCAUCGCCUUUGAGGAUCAGGUAGCCAUCAAACGUGCCGACUAUGGGAUCACUGAGGUGUUAGUCCUCACACCAACACAAUAACCUCCCGCAUACUACAAACAAAUAGCCAUGAGAGUUUCUACCAAAGUAGCUUCUUAAAACAGAUCUCAUAUAAGCCCACUCAUGCAAGCACAAACUGCAAAACACUAAAAGAAAAAAAUCUACAAUCCAAGAGGAGGGUGAAACCCACUAUUCUGAGCCGAGAGGAUCUUCCUCCGUCUGGAGAGGCAAAGGAAGGCCUACGGCGAGAACAGGACUCUAGAUUCAAUAACGGAUGUUGGUUUGGAACUUAUAGACGCAUCGCAACAUGGUUGUUCAGCCAGGGGCUCGACAAGUUGUUCAUGGUGCUAAAGUCCAGUUACAAGCCUGGAAGGAAGCUCGUCAGGCCUCGGUUUUGCACUCAGGUUCAGCAUCGUCCUCCUAUAUUGUCAAAUGGUGCCCCCGUGCGGCUUCACAUUUUAAGUACAAAGUUGAUGCUCCGGUAGAUAUAGAGGGCGGAAGUGAUCUGGUUUUGGCUGGAUAAUACGUCACCGUCAUCGAAUUUCCAUUGUUGGAUGUUGAUCUGGCCGAAAUCUUAUGCUUUCAGGAGGCUUUGAGCUGGUUGAAGAACAAGGCCUGCUUCAAUAUUUGUUGUAUAGAGGUAGAUUCUCUUUGCUCGGUUCAAGCUCUUCGGUUUACUAGCUUUACUCUGUCGUAUUAUGGUCAACUAGUUGAAAGCGUGAA
This 1288-nucleotide unclassified non-coding RNA is filed under the name Hevea brasiliensis (rubber tree). The record is from RNAcentral. Lineage: Eukaryota; Viridiplantae; Streptophyta; Magnoliopsida; Malpighiales; Euphorbiaceae.